AAGGAUUAAGUUUAAAGAAAAUACUGGCUUGUCAAGCCGGAGAAGGGUAACCCAUUCCUUG
RNAcentral lists this transfer RNA (61 nucleotides) under Linognathus vituli. RNAcentral's name for it is "tRNA-Asp". Lineage: Eukaryota; Metazoa; Arthropoda; Insecta; Psocodea; Linognathidae. The record is from RNAcentral.